AGUAACGCGUAGGUAACCUGCCUUGUAGCGGGGGAGUAACUAUUGGAAACGAUAGCUAAUACCGCAUAACAAUGGGUGACUCAUGUCAUUUAUUUUGAAAGGGGCGAAAUGCUCCACUACAAGAUGGACCUGCGUUGUAUUAGCUAGUAGGUGAGGUAACGGCUCACCUAGGCGACGAUACAUAGCCGACCUGAGAGGGUGAUCGGCCACACUGGGACUGAGACACGGCCCAGACUCCUACGGGAGGCAGCAUG
This 254-nucleotide ribosomal RNA is filed under the name uncultured bacterium. RNAcentral's name for it is "partial 16S ribosomal RNA". It matches the Rfam family "Bacterial small subunit ribosomal RNA", at positions 109 to 353 of the family's 1533-position model. The record is from RNAcentral.